UUCCUGGUGGUCCAGAGGUUAGAGCUCUGCAUUUCCACUGCGGAGGGCCCAGGUUCGAUCCCUGGGUGGGGAA
RNAcentral lists this transfer RNA (73 nucleotides) under Bos taurus (domestic cattle). It matches the Rfam family "tRNA". From Rfam's summary of the family: Transfer RNA (tRNA) molecules are approximately 80 nucleotides in length. The record is from Rfam by way of RNAcentral. RNAcentral also lists the same sequence under 1 other name. Lineage: Eukaryota; Metazoa; Chordata; Mammalia; Artiodactyla; Bovidae.